This is an RNA transcript of Planococcus citri (citrus mealybug), 3147 nucleotides long. RefSeq lists it as uncharacterized. Lineage: Eukaryota; Metazoa; Arthropoda; Insecta; Hemiptera; Pseudococcidae. The record is from RefSeq and is a predicted model, not a curated record. The transcript is spliced from 4 exons.
ACCCCUAAUCCCGUCCGCAGUUCGCUAUCAAUAUCAAUGGGAAACUUUUCUGUACUUGAGUGUAACGUAUAGUUUGUCGUGCCAGGUGCCACAGUUCAAGCUUGAUAUCGUUCAGUGAAAGUUGUGUUGCGUUUACAGUUCUAUUCAGUUAAAUUUGUUUCAAUAUUUUUAUCGUCUUAAGUAUACUUACGUUUUUUUUGAAAAAAAAAAUAAAACUUUAAAAAUGGCUUUUAUGAUGCCGGUUGUUAAAAACGACUACAAUAUUUACAAGUCGAAUCGAUCACGCCGUAUUUCCGAUUGCUCGAAUCCUCAAACUUGCCGCAGCCGAAAAAUCUCCGAAUGCUCUAAAUCCGAAGGACCAAGUUUAUCUACCUCUCCUGGAAGCGAUUUUCUGGUCGGAUCUCCAGCUCACAGAUCCGUACCUUCGGCCAUGUCAUGCAGGCAGUUCUCCAGAAAUUCGUCGAGAACAUCACACUCGAGUUUACAAUCACCCAGCAAAUCGAAUUCACCAUCGCCGCCAAAAUCCAAUUCGACGUCUUCGUUGUCGAUGUUUCACAAUAAAUUGGUAGACAAAUUAAAAAGAUCGUUAAAAUCAAAAGACUCUGUUAGCAGUGAUUGUUUGCGGUUAUAUUUUUUAUAAAUAUACUUUUCAGUGGUAUUAUCGCUGUAUCUCUGACGGAACCCCGUUCAUUAAAAUUAUUUUCGGUUUGGAAGGAUCGCUUUAGCCCGUCAUGAAUGGAAAGUUAUAGCAAUACUUAAAGGUUGUCCGUGACACGUCGAUUAGGAACGAAUGAAUUUUAUAAGGGAAGCAGUUCGACGUUGAGUUCUGCUGACGCAGCUAGGAGGAGAUCCUGAGAUAUACCUAAAGAGGAGCAUGAUAUCCUCAGCAAAAGCACCUCACUACAUCGAUCUCCAGUAACUUCGUUCUCAGUUCCUAGCGCAGCUAGAAGACGUCAUAGAUCCGAACCCAGAGUCAUAUGUUCGUAUCCGGGACCGAUGCGAUGACAUACGGUUUCCGAACACAUCAAAAGAUGAUGAGAAGGCGUUGCUGCUGUCAUUAUUGGUACGACGACCGAAGAUGCGAAGAAAAAAACGAUACCAGAACCAGAUCAUCGUGGAUCGUUUUUUUUUCUUAAAAUCGAUUUAUGCAUUUAAUCAGUACUAAGGUGCUUUGCUGGAAUCAAAUUUUCGAAUCGCGCGUAAACACUGCCUUUUUGUAUAAAGUAUACGGUGAAGUACAUUUCAAGAGUUGUACUUUCGCAAAGAAUCAGUGUUUAAAAUUUUUACGGAUAUUAGCGAGCUUUUUUCAUGUUUCGUGUAUCAUCUACCUAUCUAUAUAAAUGCAUUUUAUGGCUACUCGUACUAUAUGGUUUGAAAUUCUGCUGAUGUGUGUGGAUGCGAGGAGCGAGACGAUGCAGAACACCAUUAUCUACCUAUCUCUGGACUCUGUACUUCAUUUUGAGGUACAAUAUUACCUAUAUUACUCUGUAAUAACCGGUGCAAAAUUACAAUUAACAAAAAUAGAAUCAUUUUUUAAUAGUCUUUCGGUACUUAAUUCUUUCUUCUUCCAAAAUAUAUACCUAUUUAAAUUAUACGCCUUAUUUAAAAAACGGAUAAUUAUCCGUCAUUCUUUGAACUAAAGCCAAACGAAAAAAAAAAAAAUAAACGAAAUUAGCCCAAUAAUAACGUAAAAAAAACCGCAUGUAAAUAUUUGUAUUUUCCUCGCAAUUUUUCUUUAUUUUCUUCUCUCUUGUUCUCUGUUUUUAUAUUAGUGAAAGUGUUAGUUAAAAUUCUAAUUUUAAUCAAAAAUCAACCAAAUGGUACUGUGAUAAUGCAGCAAAAUUCUUUGUUUAAUUGUGAUAACGGUAUUACUCCGUUUUCUCUAUUUUUGCGUUUUUUGAAUACGAGAUUUCGAAAAUUUUGCUUGAAACGUAUCGACCGGUUUUUUUUUCCUCGGCCGUCUUCGACGACAAUAAUAUUCGCACGUAAUUGAAAAUCGAAGCUUAAACGAUUCUUUCUGAUGAUAAAAGUGUAGACACGUGUGUGUAGUAUACUUGACGAAAUUAUAUCCAAAAUGUUUUUCCUUUCGAUAUUUUAUAAACAUUUGUCGGGCGAUAGGCUUCAAGGACACGGUUAUCUAAUAACCGUUAAUUUUCGUGAUCUUGCAUAAAUUACAUUUACACACGAUCGACGGAUGUAGGAGGAGGUAACACGUGCGAAUUUUUCCAUGCCUAGGUCAACGUUCGAUCGUGUUGAAUAUUUUCAUUGAAGAACGCGUUUUUUUUUCUUUCUCUCUCUCUAUAUAUGUUUCUUUGUUUAGAUAAAAUUUUUCGUUGCCUGUUCUCUAAUAAGCUGAAGACGAGACGGUCGAUUUAGAAUUUUUAGAGUGAUUUUUGGGUUUAAAAUUGUUGUUAGAUGAGAAUAGAACGCGAGCUACUGGAUAGUAUAAGAUACAAAUUCAAUAUUAUGUGAUGCUCAAUCGAAAACAAACAAAAAAAAAAUUACACAACGCAGUCGUAAAUUUAUCAUUAUUAUAUUUUUAUUGCUGUGAUGAAAAAAAAAAUAUAUUACGAAUAACAUUGAAAUAGAAUAUCGUGCAUUGUUUUUUGUUAAUAACGUAUAAAAUCACAUUAUACAUUAAUAUGUUAUCAAGUAUACGCUUACCUAUGCUUUAAUGUUUUCAGUUUACCGGUAUUGUAAUAAGAUUACAUUUAUGUUAGGUUUUUGAAUUUUUUUUUGUUAUACCUAGUUACGGAAAAAUAAAUUCUGAGAAAGUCUAAAAAAAGCUAUAAUAAAUUUCAAAUUUUUAUUCGAAUGUAUCUUUAUAUCGCAUCACAAUAUCAGAAAAAAUUGAGUUAAAGCAUUCCAUUUUGUUUUCUUUUUUGACCCAAUCAUACAGGGUGUCCAAGAAGAAGGGAUUUUGAUUGUUUUCAUAUAAACCAAAAUAGGAAAAAAUUUAUUCUUGGACACCCUGUAAUCAGCGAUGAGAAAUUUUAUCAUUUUAUUUAUUUACAUUAUAUUAUUUAUUUGAUAGUCUUGAGAGAAUUUCUCAGAUUUUCUCUUAUUGUAUAAUUUUAUAUCACGCCGGUUUUUAUAAUUUAAAUUUUAUACUGUAAUUUCGUUGAAAAAUAAAUAUUCACUACUGUA